GACAGAGGGGGCAAGCGUUGCUCGGAAUCACUGGGCUUAAAGGGCGCGUAGGCGGGCAGUCAAGUCUUUUGUGAAAUCCUUCGGCUCAACCGGAGCAUUGCAGGAGAUACUGGCUGUCUCGAGGGGGGUAGGGGCAUGUGGAACUUCCAGUGGAGCGGUGAAAUGCGUAGAGAUUGGAAAGAACACCGAUGGCGAAGGCACUUUACUGGGCUAUGACUAACACUCAGAGACGAAAGCUAGGGUAGCAAAUGGG
RNAcentral lists this ribosomal RNA (253 nucleotides) under uncultured bacterium. RNAcentral describes it as "partial 16S ribosomal RNA". It matches the Rfam family "Bacterial small subunit ribosomal RNA", at positions 524 to 776 of the family's 1533-position model. The record is from RNAcentral.